AUUGAACGCUGGCGGCAUGCCUUACACAUGCAAGUCGAACGGCAGCAUGGAGAGCUUGCUCUCUGAAGGCGAGUGGCGAACGGGUGAGUAAUGCAUCGGAACGUACCGUGUAAUGGGGGAUAACGUAGCGAAAGUUACGCUAAUACCGCAUACGACCUGAGGGUGAAAGCAGGGGAUCGCAAGACCUUGCGCUAUACGAGCGGCCGAUGUCGGAUUAGCUAGUUGGUGAGGUAAAGGCUCACCAAGGCGACGAUCUGUAGCGGGUCUGAGAGGAUGAUCCGCCACACUGGGACUGAGACACGGCCCAGACUCCUACGGGAGGCAGCAGUGGGGAAUUUUGGACAAUGGGGGCAACCCUGAUCCAGCCAUGCCGCGUGAGUGAAGAAGGCCUUCGGGUUGUAAAGCUCUUUCGGCCGGGAAGAAAUCGCACAGGCUAAUACUCUGUGUGGAUGACGGUACCGGCAUAAGAAGCACCGGCUAACUACGUGCCAGCCGCCGCCGUAA
RNAcentral lists this ribosomal RNA (504 nucleotides) under uncultured bacterium. RNAcentral describes it as "partial 16S ribosomal RNA". It matches the Rfam family "Bacterial small subunit ribosomal RNA", at positions 30 to 523 of the family's 1533-position model. The record is from RNAcentral.